RNAcentral lists this ribosomal RNA (496 nucleotides) under uncultured bacterium. RNAcentral's name for it is "partial 16S ribosomal RNA". It matches the Rfam family "Bacterial small subunit ribosomal RNA", at positions 28 to 506 of the family's 1533-position model. The record is from RNAcentral.
GAUGAACGCUGGCGGCGUGCCUAAUACAUGCAAGUCGAGCGAACGGACGAGAAGCUUGCUUCUCUGAUGCUAGCGGCGGACGGGUGAGUAACACGUGGAUAACCUACCUAUAAGACUGGGAUAACUUCGGGAAACCGGAGCUAAUACCGGAUGAUAUUUUGAACCGCAUGGUUCAAAAGUGAAAGACGGUCUUGCUGUCACUUAUAGAUGGAUCCGCGCUGCAUUAGCUAGUUGGUAAGGUAACGGCUUACCAAGGCAACGAUGCAUAGCCGACCUGAGAGGGUGAUCGGCCACACUGGAACUGAGACACGGUCCAGACUCCUACGGGAGGCAGCAGUAGGGAAUCUUCCGCAAUGGGCGAAAGCCUGACGGAGCAACGCCGCGUGAGUGAUGAAGGUCUUCGGAUCGUAAAACUCUGUUAUUAGGGAAGAACAUAUGUGUAAGUAACUGUGCACAUCUUGACGGUACCUAAUCAGAAAGCCACGGCUAACUACGU